UCUUGAAAGCCUUUGUGCACAGUUAAAAAUAAUUUUUCUCCACUCAUUGGGAAAGAAAGCAACAGACAUGAAGCUUAUAUACCUAUUAAUCUUAUGUAUUUGUCUCGUAACGGCAGCAGAAACAAUGGUACUAAAUAACACUACCUUGAGAAAUUAUGCUGUUUUCAUAUCCAGACCAAAAUGUAAAAGUUAUGAUCAUCGUGGACAAUGUAUUGGUGGAAGCUCGAAAUAAAAGGAUAUAAAAAAUGUAUAGAAAAAUUAAAAUUAGCACACAUCAUUAUAAUCAAUAAUAACUUCGUUGGAAUUUAGAACUGCGAACAAAAAAUAUAUAUGUACAUAAAUAUAAAAUUACAAUAGGUAUUAGACGUUUCCAAAUAAGGAAAGAAUAAAUGUAGGCCUUAAUAAAAUUAAGUGAUUCUAUAGUUAUAUUCUAUAGUUAUAUAUCUUUAUUCAAAUAAUAUGUUCUAAACUUAUCCAUUUAUUAUAAAAUAAUAUCGUAGUCAAGACGAUAUUUUAAUGGGCAAAACUGGAGGCUUUCUACAUGGUACUGGACGAAAAAUCAUCGAUAUUUCAAGAGAAAUGAUAUGUCGUAUAUACUUAUGAUCGUUUAAUGGCCAUCCCCGAAAAAAAUUUCCCUUAUCUCAGAAACACUUGAAAUUUGGAAGAAGAUUUCUAAAGAAAGAUUCCACGAAGAUUAGCAAUUUAAAUACAUACGAGGCUGUAAUUCUCAUAAGAAGAUUAUUUUAGUAAAAGUGUUAUUUUCUAGGAACGAAAAGUUGAACCCAAUCUCAGCUUACGGUCAACAUUUUUUAAUCAAUAGUAAGGCACUUUCUCAACAAAUUCAUCAUAAGCUUCUCAAAGACGGUGCUUAAAUGAGUUAAGCAUCCAGCCACUAUACACGGAAAAAACUGGCGCUCCCUAGCUCAAUACACCACAACCGAUGAUAACAUAGCACAAGACACCUCACAAUACCUGUACACCAACACACUAAGCAAAAAGGA
This is a long non-coding RNA of Bactrocera tryoni, 1001 nucleotides long. RefSeq lists it as uncharacterized. Lineage: Eukaryota; Metazoa; Arthropoda; Insecta; Diptera; Tephritidae. The record is from RefSeq and is a predicted model, not a curated record. The transcript is spliced from 2 exons.